GACGAACGCUGGGGGCGUGCUUAACACAUGCAAGUCGAACGGAAAGGCCCUGCUUUUGUGGGGUGCUCGAGUGGCGAACGGGUGAGUAACACGUGAGUAACCUGCCCUUGACUUUGGGAUAACUUCAGGAAACUGGGGCUAAUACCGGAUAGGAGCUCCUGCUGCAUGGUGGGGGUUGGAAAGUUUCGGCGGUCGGGGAUGGACUCGCGGCUUAUCAGCUUGUUGGUGGGGUAGUGGCUUACCAAGGCUUUGACGGGUAGCCGGCCUGAGAGGGUGACCGGCGACAAUGGGACUGAGAUACGGCGCAGACUCCUACGGGAGGCAGCAGUGGGGAAUAUUGCACAAUGGGCGGAAGCCUGAUGCAGCAACGCCGCGUGCGGGAUGACGGCCUUCGGGUUGUAAACCGCUUUCGCCUGUGACGAAGCGUGAGUGACGGUAAUGGGUAAAGAAGCACCGGCUAACUACGUG
Molecule: ribosomal RNA, 468 nt
Filed under: uncultured bacterium
Lineage: Bacteria
Description: partial 16S ribosomal RNA
Rfam family: Bacterial small subunit ribosomal RNA
Source: RNAcentral